Calidris pugnax (ruff) is the source of this 646-nucleotide long non-coding RNA. RefSeq lists it as uncharacterized. NCBI's taxonomy places the organism in Eukaryota, Metazoa, Chordata, Aves, Charadriiformes, Scolopacidae. The record is from RefSeq and is a predicted model, not a curated record. The transcript has 3 exons.
UCCUGAGACCUCAACACCACCUGAACUUGCCUUAAAACACAUGAAAAUAAUGCUUAGAAAGUGUAAGAAGUCAAUUUUCAGAAUAAGGAAAAAAUGUGAGAGACCACAGCUAAGUAAAUACAUGGAAAGAAAGACUAGACACUAGAGGAAUGGACACAAAAAUGUGGAGGUACCUCAAAGGAAACCAUAAUCAACAAACACAAAGAGAGACGUUGCUGGAAAAACUUUGCAGUUCCACAAAAUCUCAAGAAGCCAAGCCACAAGUCUAUAGUUGUAGCAGCUGUUAAUUUCACAGCCAUGGAAGACAUGGCAUUUGAAGAUGUGCCGACAAAGUACAAAAGUCGAACAGCAAGGUUGAUUUCCCUCUGCUGGACAUGCCCUAGCUUUGGACUACUUUGUACUGACCACCCCAGCUGCACAACAGAAGACAUUGUCUGAUGUCUGUAGCAGAGAAUGCAGUACAUGUGGACAGAAAGGAGGGAAGAGGCGAAAAAGAAGAAGAAAGGAGCUUCCCCUUGCUUGCUUGCCUCAUGCAGAUGUCUCUUUAUGGAUGGCCUGCUUCUCCCCUUUGGUUUAGAGUCUGCUCUUAGAAAAGAUUGAAUAAAUGCAGCUUUGCACAUCUUUUUUUUGUCCUCCUCCUAAAAGC